Zonotrichia leucophrys gambelii is the source of this 1328-nucleotide long non-coding RNA. RefSeq lists it as uncharacterized. Lineage: Eukaryota; Metazoa; Chordata; Aves; Passeriformes; Passerellidae. The transcript has 4 exons. The record is from RefSeq and is a predicted model, not a curated record.
UUGCCACACAUGGGUAAGGGGGAUUUAGGUGUAUACACCAUUAUCCAUCAACAUCUCAGUUCUUAGCAUUCUAUGUCUGCACAGUGGAAGCCUCUGUAUGGAAAUCAACUAACCAAAAGCUUAAAUUAAUGUGACUUUGGAACAGAACCUCCAGUAAAUCAUCAGAGAAAUAUUAUCUUCAACUGAGCGGCCAAAAGGAGCUACAUAACAAGCUUUAACAAGCUCUGUGAAGUUUACCUUGAAAUACACUACAUCUAAAUUACCAUCAGCUUAGGAACCUGGAAUAACUUCUGAAGAGAUUUGGGUAGCAAACCUGGAAGUAUUUUCAGCUUUAAGAGUCUAAGCUGGCACCUGGGCAGGCAGACACAGGAGGAGAAAACAACAAGCAGAAGUUGUGACAGAAUUGCAUACCAGGAAAAGCUGUUUGGACAGGUCACAUUUUGCUUACAGGUGGAAUCUAGCAGGUUGCACGUCUGAAUCAGCAGGAUAUUUUGUCACAAGCAUCAUCCUGAAAUGACGAUCAUUUUCCUUUGGACUUCUACUGCAGAUUCAGCUGAUAAAGAGCUUCAGAAGACUCUGUACAGGCUGCCUUGACACAAGGCCCAGCAUGGAGUAUUAUGUCUACUUUGACCUCAUCUUCUAACUUUUGGGCUUCUGAUGCAUAUCUGUAGCUGUCUGUGAACUCUCCUACUAAUCAGUCAGAAACUGAAGGAAUGUUAGUUUUUUUCUUUUUUUUCAACAAUGUAUCCUUUUUAAAAGUCCCCGGCAGCUGCCUAGGGUUUGAAAGCAACCUCAAAUAAAUGUAUGCAAAUUGUGAGGCAGAAAUGUGGUUGCUCUUCCACCGUUGAGCUCUUUGACCUUUGAUUAUGUUAUUUAAAACAGAUGUGGGGAAGGAUCUGUGUUUUAAAUUCAAAUAUCUUAUUAUUUUCUAGAACAAAUACUUAGGUUACAAUGCGCUAUCUUGCAGGAAAUGAACUUUUCCAUAGUUUUUCCAACCUGCCAGGAAAUUCAGCAGCCUGCUGCUCUAAUUCCUCUGAGAUGUCCCUGAUUUGAAAAUUUUUGCCUCAGUUUUGCCAACAGAACACAUGCCAAAUCACAAUCAAAGAAUUAAGAGAUUUUUCUGCUGUGCUCCAGGUGCAAUUGAGUAAAAGAAUGGGGAUGCUGCUUCAAGUCAUGAUUCUGAACUUCUAGAAAAAGCUUUUCCAAAAACUGAGAAUCACUGCAAUACUUCAUAACUCCAUUGGAGAGAUAUGUAUUGUGGAUGUGUAAAAAAGGAAAUAGUAAAUAUGUACUUGUUUGGCCAAUAUAUCAGAUAGACACAGGAAAUA